This 460-nucleotide ribosomal RNA is filed under the name uncultured bacterium. RNAcentral's name for it is "partial 16S ribosomal RNA". It matches the Rfam family "Bacterial small subunit ribosomal RNA", at positions 338 to 795 of the family's 1533-position model. The record is from RNAcentral.
CCUACGGGCGGCAGCAGUGAGGAAUAUUGGUCAAUGGACGAGAGUCUGAACCAGCCAAGUAGCGUGAAGGAUGACUGCCCUAUGGGUUGUAAACUUCUUUUAUAAAGGAAUAAAACGAGGCACGUGUGCCUUUUUGCAUGUACUUUAUGAAUAAGGAUCGGCUAACUCCGUGCCAGCAGCCGCGGUAAUACGGUGGAUCCGCGCGUUAUCCGGAUUUAGUGGGUUUAAAGGGAGCGUAGAUGGGUUGUUAAGUCAGUUGUGAAAGUUUGCGGCUCAACCGUAAAAUUGCAAUUGAUACUGGCAGUCUUGAGUACAGUUGAGGUAGGUGGAAUUCGUGGUGUAGCGGUGAAAUGCUUAGAUAGCACGAAGAACCCCGAUUGCGAAGGCAGCUUACUAGACUGUGACUGACAUUGAUGCUCGAAAGUGUGGGUAUCAAACAGGAUUAGAUACCCUAGUAGUC